Gadus morhua (Atlantic cod) is the source of this 1332-nucleotide long non-coding RNA. RefSeq lists it as uncharacterized. The transcript is spliced from 4 exons. The record is from RefSeq and is a predicted model, not a curated record. Lineage: Eukaryota; Metazoa; Chordata; Actinopteri; Gadiformes; Gadidae.
CCAGGACUGGUGCAGCUCUACAGAUGCGGAAUGGGAAAGGCGACGUAGUUGGGGGCCUUGCGGUGGCGCUCAAAUGGGGGUCCUUGCGGUGGCGGUCAACAGGAGGUGUCAAGAGUCAAGACCAACUAGCUCCUCGUCCAGGAAAGGUGACAAUGGAAGAGCAGGUGGCUGUGCAGUUGCCAUGGUGCAGAGACCCAGAGUACGAUGACCGAACAGUUGAUCUACAACAGUGGCCUACUCCCCAUCCAGCCUGAGGAUCCCUGGCUACACCUACAAUCCAAUCUAUGCCAGACAUAACCACUCGGAGCUCAACAACUCUGCCUCCUCCAUGUUUAGAUGAAUGAUUUAUAAAUUGUAUUUCUGUGUCCCCAACUAUUGUAUUUCUAACCUAGUUACCUCGGAACGCUCUAAGGGAGCGACUAAAGAGACAAAGCUGGAGCAAACCUGAGCUUAACAAUCUCUUUCUAAUGUCCUAAAUUGAAUCGUAUAAAAUGCCUAAAGUAACUUGUCCAACAAAACAAAGCCAACCUAAUGCCCAAACUUAACCAUCUAACUAAAGAUCUCAAAUGCCUAAACUCUUAACUCAACUUAACCUAAUACCCAAACUUAACCAUCUAACUAAAGAUCUCAAAUGCCUAAACUCUCUUACCUCAACAUAACCUAAUACCCAAACUUGACCAUCUAACUAAAGAUCUCAAAUGCCUAAACUCUUACCUUAACCUAGUACCUAAACUUGACCAUCUAAAAGGCCUAAACCUUGCCUGGUACCUAAACUUAACCAUCUAACUAAACAUACCUAAACUCUUUCCUAAUACCUAAACAAUCUUUAAUGCCUUAACUUGACCAAACACCAAUAAUAAAAUUAACAUCUUUAAUCUUAAACCCAAACCAGCCUUGUCCCUGGGUCGCUCCACUGUGUUCCUUUUAAAGGCAUCUCUAGUUCCCCUGCAACUGUUUUAUUCCUUGAGGACUUGAGUACUUUGUAUUUGAAAACUUGUUUCAUUAAUACUUCAUCUUUACAGACUUGUUUUGGGUAAUUGGGACAGCUGUAUAGCGUCCUUACUCGUGAGUGACCGAUCUGAAGAUAUAAAUUUAAGGAUUAUGAAGCCAAUAAAAUAAGGCCGGAUAUGUGAAAAGACAAGGUAGACAAUGAUCGAGGAGUCAAGGAGUGGAUUGGUAAAUAUCUAACAUGGAACCAAAUGCCUAAUUAUUUGAUCUGUUACCAGGCUAUCGAAUUAGGGGAGUCUGAAGGAGUACCAUACAGUGUUGCAUGGAUUCUUGCUAGAUUGCAUUAUGGCUGAGGCCGUUAAUUUGAAGAAUAUGAAUAAAAAG